This is a long non-coding RNA of Armigeres subalbatus, 1197 nucleotides long. RefSeq lists it as uncharacterized. The record is from RefSeq and is a predicted model, not a curated record. NCBI's taxonomy places the organism in Eukaryota, Metazoa, Arthropoda, Insecta, Diptera, Culicidae. The transcript has 3 exons.
UCCUGAAGAACGGUUCAAUUUGCUCUUCUUUAAAGAGCCCAACCAGUAUGUUAUAAAAUUUAACUACUGGUCGGUUAUUAACCAUAGGAAAAGUGUGAUUUCGUGUAAGAACUAAUCUUAUCGCUACCUCUUGUGCAUGGAAGUGCCAGUAAACAAGCUCUCAUUGGUCAAUGAGUUUGAAGGCACCAUAAAUCAAAAACCGAAAAUCACCGCGGAGUCAGCCAUUUCCAGCACAAAGACAAAAAGGCCAUUUACAAACCAUUUCCUGCCAACCGACCGUUCAGCUCCCCGAAAUCGCCGAGAGAACCCUGGCCGGGUUGAAGAAAAUCUUCUUAAUUAAUUUAUAAAUAUCUGAAAAAGGCAGAUAAAUUAAUGCGCCAAAAUCCGACUAUCAACGGCUGCAGAUGUUCAUAAUCAGAGAUGCCUGCGGUACAUAAUUCAUGUCUGGUUUCUUCACUACUGAAUCUCAGAAAACGAGCUGCAUCGUCGUUGUAAUCGAAUAACUGAUAUCAAUUGAAAUUCGUGAACGGAAAUGGAGGUGAGGUGGCCACACCUCAUAUAGGAGCGGAAACGAAGUCAGUGAACAAGAAUUACAUUGGAACCCAGCGGAACAUCGCCAUGGUGGCGUAGCCUGCAUAAAGAAAUAAAAGAAGUCGACCAGAAGCUAAAUUGACAGCAGGUUAAGGCGAUAACUGGACAUCGCAAGGGUGGAGAUCUUUCAUGUCGGCCUAUCGCACCACUCGAGGUGUACAGGAUCCAUAAAUAAGUAGGCAGUAUUUCCGGAAUGUGACCAAACUCCCAGUGUGCGGACGCGAUCGACGACGAUGGAAGCCAUCAAACGCACCAUCCGAAAUGGGAUGGCUUGUUUUUUUUCGGAAGUAGACUCAGCCAGCGAGCGCAUGUCGUCGUUUCCAGCUCAUAAAUCCGAACGAAAUUAAUUCAUUUUAAAAACGUGUGAGGAAGCGUGAAAUCGAGACCCAUCGGAAGAUGGAGGCAUGUUCCUCGGCGACGAUAUCCGAUCAUCUAUUGUUCGUGAGCAAAACACCCACAUAGCGACCAGGGAUCCAGCAGACGUGGCGUGUAUCGCUGUUACGAUCGUGUAGAACAAUCAAUAUUCAUUUUAUUUAUGACUCUAUUGAAAAACAAGAAGAAAAUUGAGGAAGAGAAAUGAAUAAACAGAAGCAUAAUUUCAUUGCA